AACAACGCAUAUAAUUAGUUCUAUUUUGUUUUAAUUUGAAGGAAUAUAAAUUACAAGCUAUAAAUCACAAUAUAUUGUAUGUCGAAAACCAGUAUUGCUUGAAUGUCGGGUUGAGUCUGACGGUAACUUGUAAAGCAAAGGUGAGUGGGGUACGGUUCGCAGGCCCAAGACGGCCAGGACAAGGCUGAGAGUGAGAAUGCAUCACAGCGGUGACCAUAAAAGAGACUUAGAGAAAGUGCAGGAAGAAGGAGAAAAAGGAGAGGAGGAAAACUCAGAAGAGCCCUUAGAUUUAACAGGAUGGAAAUCUCAAGAAAACAAAGAUGGGUUGCUUGAAGAAGAGAAUACAGGAGAUGGGAAGAAAAUGAGCUGUUGUUAUUUUGGGUUGGAAGAUGAGAAAGAUCCAGAAGAUAUUUCAUUGGCUUGUUUGAGUCCAAUUUCUAAACACUCAAAACAAAACAGAAAGAGAAAGAAGAAAAGGAAAAAUAAGAGCAAAAUUUCAUUUGAAUACAAGAAAAAGAAGAAAAUGAGACCAAAAGCAAAAUCAAAGUCAAAUGAAUGUGAAUUACAUUUCUCUUCUGAAUCUGCAGACUUAAGAAAUGAGCUUGUUCCGGAAGACCUAAGUUUAUACUCUAAGUCCUCUGGUACUCAUUCUUGUAUGUCUGAAGAAUCAGAUUCUCCCUCAGAGCAGGUAACUGGAGCAAUAAGGGAUCUCAGUUUAAAUGAACAUUCAGAAUCUCCUCAAUUCUCAGUUGGGAAUGCUGCAAAAAACAAGUGUCACGAAGAGUCAACUUCAGAUGACACUCGUAGCUCAUUGGUUGAACAAGAAAUCAAAGCACCAGUCAAAGAAACCUUUGAUUUCUUAACAGAGCAAAAGAACUUUAAUCCAAAUGAGCAAAGGUUGGGUCAAAGGAUCGAAGAAGGAGACCAAUCAAUUAUUUCUUCCCUGGGGCAGAAAGUAGAAGCUAAAUAUACAGAAGAUUCAACUUCUUCAUCUCAGCUGGAAAAAACAGAAGAUUCAGAAGAUCAACUAGUUCCUUUUGAGAUCUCUCCAAGAUCAACUUGCAAAAUCUCAAAUAAUUAUUUAGUGAAAUCCAGCACAAUUAGGCAUGGUUCAAAUGAAAGGGAAGAAUGUUUACGACCUAGACCAUCACAGAGUUUGGUAAUGACAAGAAAACGUCGAAUUGCACCAUCACUACUCGAAGGUAUUAUAGGAUACAAGCAGGCAAAACUUAACAUGCAUACCAUCACUGCCAAAACCAGUACUUCUAGAAGAAUGGGGCCUAUAAAUAAGCCAUCUUACAGGAAUCAUUCAUCAAAGAAAUCAUCAACAUGUAGUUCAUCUUCCUCCUCUCAAAUAACAGUAGCACUGGACAUUUUUAAUCCUGAAGACAGAGAACUUAUGUCUGAUAGUAGCAACAAAGAAAUGGAUCAGGACUCAGCACAAAAGCUUUUGGAUGCAAGUGUAGGAGAAAUCAUAUGGGCAAAACUGGGCUCUACCCGCUGGUGGCCAGCUAUAGUCAUUUGGGGGACUGACUGUGGGCAGCCACCUGCUCAUCCUGGCCAAACGUGGGUGUUCUGGUUUGGUGAUCACAAAAUAUCAGAGUUACCAAGGGACAAGCUGGUGGAUUUUGUUGAAGAGUUUAGUAGCAAGUUUAGUGACUUUGCUGGCAAAAUGUUCAAAAGGGGAGUUGUAGAGGCAAUCCGAGAAGUGGCUGUGCAUGCUGAAGUGGAAUUUGUUGAGGGUGACUCUGCAGGAAUGCUUAAUUGGGCCAAAAAUGGAUUUCGGACAGAAUCUUCAAAGCCUAAUCCAUAUGCUCCUGAUAUUGCCACACCAAUUUCUGAGAAUGUUUCAAAACAUUUGAAUCGAAUAAAAACUCAGUAUCUUCAAGCUCUACAAUCUUUUGGUUCCCAGAAUUCUUUGCAACCUCGUUUUUCACGUCUGGAGCAAUUGGAGAAUAAAGACAGUGCAUUAAAGAAAGUUCGAGAAGGAAAAUUUAGAAUUCAAGAUGUAUGUAUAGCUUGUGAUUCAACAUUAGUAGAAAUAUCUACCCAGCACCCACUUAUAGAAGGAGGCUUGUGUAAGCAAUGCAAAAAUGAAACUGUAGAAACAAUGUUUGCUUAUGGAGAAGAUGGAACUAAUGCUUAUUGUGUGAUUUGUGGCCAAGCUGGAGAACUUUUGAUCUGUGAUAAUAAUGACUGUAACAGGUGUUACUGUACUGGCUGUAUUGAUGUUCUUGUGUCUCCUGGAGCCCAUAAAAAGGUGCUAAGUACUAGUCCUUGGUUGUGUUAUAUGUGUCAUGAUUACGAUCCUGAGAUCAAUGGUCUCAUCAGAUGUAAGGAGGAGUGGCAGCAGAAUGUAAUGCAGCUAUUUCAACCUGAGAAACAUGUUCAUCUUCCUCCCUCUCCAGAAGAUUAUAAAGAAAAACGACCAAUUAGAGUCCUCUCUUUGUUUGAUGGUAUUGGAACAGGCAAGUUUGUGUUAGAUCAGUUGGGGAUAAAUGUGGAUGCCUACUAUGCUAGUGAGAUUGACCAGGAUGCCAUUAAUGUCUCCAUAGUUCAACAUAAACUCAGUAUUAACCAGCUUGGUCGGAUUGAAGAUGUCACUGAUGCUGAGGUAGCUAAGCUGUGCCCCAUAGACUUGGUAAUUGGAGGGUCUCCUUGUAAUGAUCUCUCUCUGGUUAAUCCUGCUAGAAAAGGCCUGUAUGGCUGUGCAACUAGCCAAUAAGGGACGCCAUGUUUUCUGGUUGUACGAAAAUGUUGCAUCUAUGCCCCAGGAAUACAAGUCAACUAUUACUCGUUUCUUACAGUGUGAUCCUGCCAUGAUUGACUCAAAAUACUUUUCACCUCAAAACCGGGCACGUUAUUUCUGGGGUAAUAUUCCAGGAAUGUAUGC
Molecule: unclassified non-coding RNA, 2893 nt
Filed under: Limulus polyphemus (Atlantic horseshoe crab)
Lineage: Eukaryota; Metazoa; Arthropoda; Merostomata; Xiphosura; Limulidae
Description: dNA (cytosine-5)-methyltransferase 3B-like, transcript variant X1
Source: RNAcentral